RNAcentral lists this ribosomal RNA (503 nucleotides) under Candida tropicalis. RNAcentral's name for it is "eukaryotic LSU rRNA". The stretch from base 144 to 297 matches the Rfam family "5.8S ribosomal RNA". Lineage: Eukaryota; Fungi; Ascomycota; Pichiomycetes; Serinales; Debaryomycetaceae. The record is from RNAcentral.
GUGGAAUUGACUGCUUAUUGCACCACAUGUGUUUUUUAUUGAACAAAUUUCUUUGGUGGCGGGAGCAAUCCUACCGCCAGAGGUUAUAACUAAACCAAACUUUUUAUUUACAGUCAAACUUGAUUUAUUAUUACAAUAGUCAAAACUUUCAACAACGGAUCUCUUGGUUCUCGCAUCGAUGAAGAACGCAGCGAAAUGCGAUACGUAAUAUGAAUUGCAGAUAUUCGUGAAUCAUCGAAUCUUUGAACGCACAUUGCGCCCUUUGGUAUUCCAAAGGGCAUGCCUGUUUGAGCGUCAUUUCUCCCUCAAACCCCCGGGUUUGGUGUUGAGCAAUACGCUAGGUUUGUUUGAAAGAAUUUAACGUGGAAACUUAUUUUAAGCGACUUAGGUUUAUCCAAAACGCUUAAUUUGCUAAUGGCCACCACAAUUUAUUUCAUAACUUUGACCUCCAAUCAGGGAAGAAUACCCGCUGAACUUAAGCAUAUCAAAAAACCGGGAAGAAA